Molecule: ribosomal RNA, 547 nt
Filed under: Alpheus paradentipes
Lineage: Eukaryota; Metazoa; Arthropoda; Malacostraca; Decapoda; Alpheidae
Description: partial 16S ribosomal RNA
Rfam family: Bacterial large subunit ribosomal RNA
Source: RNAcentral
UCAAAAACAUGUCUUUACGUUAGAAUUGUAAGGUCUGGCCUGCCCACUGAUUUUUAAAGGGCCGCGGUAUACUAACCGUGCGAAGGUAGCAUAAUCAAUAGUCUCUUAAUUGGAGGCUUGGAUGAACGGUCGGACAUGAAGAAAGCUGUGUCAUUUAGUGUGAGCGAAUCUAACUUUUGUGUGAGAAGGCACAGAUAGGUUGAAGGGACGAUAAGACCCUAUAAAACUUUAUGGGUGAAUUUGGCCUUGUGAGGUUUGGGUGAAAUCGGGCUAGAGGGGCCCAUUUGGCUGGGGCGGCUGGAAUAAAACUGUAACUGUUCUUGUUGUGAAAUAAUUAUAAUUAGAUUUUGAUCCCGAAUUUUGGUUUAGAAGAUUAAGUUACUUUAGGGAUAACAGCGUUAUCUCUCUUGAGAGUCCAUAUCGACAGAGACGUUUGCGACCUCGAUGUUGAAUUAAAACUUUCCCUGGGGGCAGAAGUUCAGGGGGUGGGUCUGUUCGACCUUUAAAGNUUUACAUGAUUUGAGUUUAANCCGGUGUGAGCCAGGUG